RNAcentral lists this transfer RNA (68 nucleotides) under Krisna rufimarginata. Its description in RNAcentral is "tRNA-Gln". The record is from RNAcentral. Lineage: Eukaryota; Metazoa; Arthropoda; Insecta; Hemiptera; Cicadellidae.
UGUAAAUUAGUGUAUGAAGCACAUAAAUUUUUGAUAUUUAUAGUUAAGUUUAAUUCUUUAUUUUACAA